UUUUAUUUGAGAGUUUGAUCCUGGCUCAGGAUGAACGCUGGCGGCGUGCCUAACACAUGCAAGUUGAGCGAUUUACUUCGGUAAAGAGCGGCGGACGGGUGAGUAACGCGUGGGUAACCUACCCUGUACACACGGAUAACAUACCGAAAGGUAUGCUAAUACGGGAUAAUAUAUUUGAGAGGCAUCUCUUAAAUAUCAAAGGUGAGCCAGUACAGGAUGGACCCGCGUCUGAUUAGUUAGUUGGUAAGGUAACGGCUUACCAAGGCGACGAUCAGUAGCCGACCUGAGAGGGUGAUCGGCCACAUUGGAACUGAGACACGGUCCAAACUCCUACGGGAGGCAGCAGUGGGGAAUAUUGCACAAUGGGCGAAAGCCUGAUGCAGCAACGCCGCGUGAGUGAUGAAGGCCUUCGGGUCGUAAAACUCUGUCCUCAAGGAAGAUAAUGACGGUACUUGAGGAGGAAGCCCCGGCUAA
This 474-nucleotide ribosomal RNA is filed under the name Clostridioides difficile. RNAcentral describes it as "bacterial SSU rRNA". It matches the Rfam family "Bacterial small subunit ribosomal RNA", at positions 1 to 500 of the family's 1533-position model. The record is from RNAcentral. Lineage: Bacteria; Bacillati; Bacillota; Clostridia; Peptostreptococcales; Peptostreptococcaceae.